RNAcentral lists this transfer RNA (70 nucleotides) under Rhampholeon spectrum. RNAcentral's name for it is "tRNA-Trp". Lineage: Eukaryota; Metazoa; Chordata; Lepidosauria; Squamata; Chamaeleonidae. The record is from RNAcentral.
AGAAGCUUAGGAUCAUGUAAACCCGGGGCCUUCAAAGCCUUAAAAAAGAGUCCCACCCUCUUAGCUCCUG